AGAGUUUGAUCCUGGCUCAGGACGAACGCUGGCGGCGCGCCUAAUACAUGCAAGUCGAACGGGUCCCCUUCGGGGGGCCAGUGGCGGACGGGUGAGUAACACGUGGGUGACCUGCCCUGAAGUGGGGAAUAACGCUGCGAAAGCAGCGCUAAUACCGCAUACGCUUAGCGCUUCACUGCGCUAAGUAAAGCCUUGUGCGCUUCAGGAGGGGCCUGCGGCCGAUUAGCUAGUCGGAGGGGUAACGGCCCACCGAGGCGACGAUCGGUAGCUGGUCUGAGAGGAUGAUCAGCCACACUGGGACUGAGACACGGCCCAGACUCCUACGGGAGGCAGCAGUAAGGAAUCUUCCACAAUGGGCGCAAGCCUGAUGGAGCGACGCCGCGUGCGCGAAGAAGCCCUUCGGGGUGUAAAGCGCUUUUCCCAGGGAUGAAGGUCUGACAGUACCUGGGGAAGAAGCCUCGGCUAACUACGUGCCAGCAGCCGCGGUAAUAC
RNAcentral lists this ribosomal RNA (492 nucleotides) under uncultured bacterium. Its description in RNAcentral is "bacterial SSU rRNA". It matches the Rfam family "Bacterial small subunit ribosomal RNA", at positions 8 to 526 of the family's 1533-position model. The record is from RNAcentral.